RNAcentral lists this ribosomal RNA (461 nucleotides) under uncultured bacterium. RNAcentral's name for it is "partial 16S ribosomal RNA". It matches the Rfam family "Bacterial small subunit ribosomal RNA", at positions 339 to 795 of the family's 1533-position model. The record is from RNAcentral.
CUACGGGUUGCUGCAGUCGAGAAUCCUCCGCAAUGGACGAAAGUCUGACGGAGCGACGCCGCGUGCGGGAUGAAGGCCUUCGGGUUGUAAACCGCUGUCAGUGGGGAGGAAAUGCAUCAGGGUUCUCCCUGGUGUUUGACCGAUCCGCAGAGGAAGCGCAGGCUAAGUUCGUGCCAGCAGCCGCGGUAACACGAACUGCGCGAACGUUAUUCGGAAUCACUGGGCUUAAAGAGUUCGUAGGCGGCCUUUCAAGUCGGGUGUGAAAUCCCUCGGCUCAACCGAGGAAUUGCGCCGGGUAUUGUUGGGCUUGAGGGGGAUAGGGGUGAGCGGAACUGAUGGUGGAGCGGUGAAAUGCGUUGAUAUCAUCAGGAACACCGGUGGCGAAGGCGGCUCACUGGAUCUCUUCUGACGCUGAGGAACGAAAGCUAGGGGAGCGAACGGGAUUAGAUACCCUAGUAGUC